ACGAACGCUGGCGGCGCGCCUAACACAUGCAAGUCGAACGGUCUUGUGAUAGAGCUUGCUCUAACAUGAGAUAGUGGCGGACUGGUGAGUAACACGUGAGCAACCUACCUACGGGAGAGGGAUAGCGUCUGGAAACGGACGGUAAUACCACAUAAAGCCAUUUAAGGGCAUCCUUGAAUGGUUAAAGGAGGCAACUCCGCCGAUAGAUUGGCUCGCGACUGAUUAGGUAGUUGGAGUGGUAAUGGCACACCAAGCCUACGAUCAGUAGCCGGACUGAGAGGUUGAACGGCCACAUUUGGACUGAGAUACGGCCCAGACUCCUACGGGAGGCAGCAGUGGGGGAUAUUGCACAAUGGAGGAAACUCUGAUGCAGCGACGCCGCGUGAGGGAAGACGGUCUUCGGAUUGUAAACCUCUGUCCUAGGGGAAGAAGAAAGUGACGGUACCCUAGGAGGAAGCCACGGCUAACUACGU
This 473-nucleotide ribosomal RNA is filed under the name uncultured bacterium. Its description in RNAcentral is "bacterial SSU rRNA". It matches the Rfam family "Bacterial small subunit ribosomal RNA", at positions 29 to 506 of the family's 1533-position model. The record is from RNAcentral.